AGCGAACGCUGGCGGCAGGCCUAACACAUGCAAGUCGAACGGACCCUUCGGGGUUAGUGGCGGACGGGUGAGUAACACGUGGGAACGUGCCUUUAGGUUCGGAAUAGCUCCUGGAAACGGGUGGUAAUGCCGAAUGUGCCCUUCGGGGGAAAGAUUUAUCGCCUUUAGAGCGGCCCGCGUCUGAUUAGCUAGUUGGUGAGGUAACGGCUCACCAAGGCGACGAUCAGUAGCUGGUCUGAGAGGAUGACCAGCCACACUGGGACUGAGACACGGCCCAGACUCCUACGGGAGGCAGCAGUGGGGAAUCUUGCGCAAUGGGCGAAAGCCUGACGCAGCCAUGCCGCGUGAAUGAUGAAGGUCUUAGGAUUGUAAAAUUCUUUCACCCGGGACGAUAAUGACGGUACCCGGAGAAGAAGCCCCGGCUAACUUCGUG
Molecule: ribosomal RNA, 433 nt
Filed under: uncultured bacterium
Lineage: Bacteria
Description: partial 16S ribosomal RNA
Rfam family: Bacterial small subunit ribosomal RNA
Source: RNAcentral